UACGGGGGGGGCAAGCGUUGUUCGGAAUUACUGGGCGUAAAGGGCUUGUAGGUGGCCAACUAAGUCAGACGUGAAAUCCCUCGGCUUAACCGGGGAACUGCGUCUGAUACUGGAUGGCUUGAGUGUGGGAGAGGGAUGCGGAAUUCCAGGUGUAGCGGUGAAAUGCGUAGAUAUCUGGAGGAACACCGGUGGCGAAGGCGGAUCUCUGGGCCUUACCUGACGCUCAGGCGCGAAAGCUAGGGGAGCGAACAGG
RNAcentral lists this ribosomal RNA (253 nucleotides) under uncultured bacterium. RNAcentral's name for it is "partial 16S ribosomal RNA". It matches the Rfam family "Bacterial small subunit ribosomal RNA", at positions 524 to 776 of the family's 1533-position model. The record is from RNAcentral.